UUUCUCCGCGACGCCCCCGCGCCCUCGGUCCCUCCCUCUCGCCAGUAGUCGCCGGAGGCAGCCAAUCAGAAGCCUCGUUCCUCCGCUGGCCCAGCUGGUAGCGGUCCCCGCGCAGCCAGGGGCUGUCGUUCGCCGGGAGCUGUAGCUGCUGCGGUGGAGGGCGUGCGGGCAGGCUGGGACUCUGUGGUUAAGCCCCGGGCCUCUAGCGCCGCGAGUCUGAAUCCGAGCCUCGGCUUCCCACUCAGUGGCUGUGUGGCCAUGGGUAAGGCGUCCAUCCUCACUUUCUCCAUCUGCAAAAGGAAGGUGAUGGCUUCUCAGUGGUGUCGUGGACUCUUGUGAGCUCUCGCGUGUAAGCAAGGGCGCAGUAGGUGUAGCUUUUAUUAUUCUUGAAAGAAAGGGCGCUUCCCAGGUAAGAGCGCAGACCCCAGAAAGCAGACCCUCAAAAAGAGCAUUUGGUUGCAGGCUAGGGAAGGAGAUGAAGCAGACGAAGCUGGAGAAGCACGCAAGAAACCUUAUAUUUUGCAGGGCCUCCCUGUCGACGGUCUGUGGUGAUAUGUUCCAGCAGCCGUAGAAAACAGUGCUAAUUCCGACAAGGAUAUGGUGAUGAACCAAACCGACGAAAAUGCCUGCCACGCGGACCACUGCCAUUCUGUGCCAGGUGCUGUCCUGUGCCCGUGAUGCGUAGUAUCCCUUUAGUUGUCGCAUAGAUCCUAGGAGACGGCUGCUAUUUGAACCCAAACCAAGUAACUCAGAGACCCUUUCUCUAAGCAUCAUAACCGUGUCCUGCCCGUGACCAAUUAGGCUGUCAGUGUGCGGCAGCUAUUGGGAGUGUGCCAGUGAUCUGCUCAUGUCAUUUCUGAUGCCACUGGCCAGCCGGGUGGAUUGGAUGACUCUGGGUGCCUGGGAGGCUGACCCCUUCUGUUCUCACCACAGCAGGAGAAGGUCUUGCCCAGAGAGAGGAGGAACAUCCUUCGUUCAAGGGUUUAUGAGUAGCAUCCUCUGCCUGAAUGGCCUGCAUCUGCUCAGCUAAUUCAGAUUGUGGUGACUAAGGGGCAGGCACUUCUUCUGAGGACUUUAAGAACCUGGAUUUAUUUCAUCCUCACGGUACCCUUAUGAGGUACAUACGUUCUGUUCUCCUCCUCAUGUCACAGAUGAGGAAACCGAGGCGCAGAGAAGUUAAAUAACUUAACAAAGGUCCCGAGACUUAUCAGGAGCCAAGAUUCAACCUCUCGACUGUUUUAAGGCUCAUUAAUACAAUGGCUACAGUUUAUUGAGCAGCUACUAUGUGUCUGGCACUCUUCGUGUACGUGUCACAACAACCCUUCGAAUGAGGCACUGUACUAAGCCCCGAAAGUGGAGAAGUGAGUAAGAUUCAGGCAAUAAAAGUAGUGGUCAAGAAGUCGGACUUCGGAGUCUCCAGAACCAUCUGGGUGAUCUUAGGCAAGUCACUUAACUCUUCUGAGACUCAGUUUUCUCAUCCAUAAAAUGGGAAUGGUACCAGGAUCUACCUCCGGGGCAUUAUGAGGAUUAUAUGAGACCCAGCACACGCAGUGCUUAGGCUCAGUGCUUGGCACAGCAUGAGUUGUCAGUACGUGUCAGCUGUUGUUAUACAGUUGUUGCUGUAAUAAGAAAGCUCAGUUCCUGCCCUUACCGGAGAAGACCCAUGAGUGAUGUAGCCAUCACUGUUCCUCCCAUGUUCAUUCCGACGGUAAUUUAACAAACUUUGAACUAGGCUAAGUCUCUAGCUUGCUCAACCCAAUGGCAGACUGAAGACAAAAUGAGGGAACUCCUGCUUCUCACUAGCUUCAAAGCCGCCCACCAUCUCUUUUUCCUCCUGGGAUGGGCUAGAACCUCUAGGAAGACUAGUCACCCUCCGCCCUCCUGGAACACAGUGGAUGUGCUUAAAGAAAGAAAAUACCGGAAAAUCCCACCAGAGCAUAUGACUGUGAAUUGAACACACAUAUGCUAGACUUACCUGGAAGUUUGCCAAGACCCAGUGAUGAAGAUGGAGGGAGGAUAUUAAGCCUCCAACACAGAGGAGCCAUGGGACCACCACUGACUGAGCCCUUCCAUCUUGGCUUCCCUGUUUCUGAACCAAGGCCUCGCUGGGGUCACCAGACAGCUGCCCUAUAGCUCCUUCUUGCUGGCUGAAGGAAACAUCUUCUACGGAAUGAUGGAAGAAAAGGAGACACAUUUUUAUUUCCUGCCUGUAAGAUUUAUCAACCCUAAAAAGUGACUUUGAUGCUGGCACAACCAGAUAUCCAUACACAUCACACUGUCUGCGAAAAUUAACUCAAAAUGGAUCAUAGACCUGAACGUAAGUGCUAAAGCCAUCAAAUUCAUAAAAGCAAACAGUAACAUAUCUUUGGGACCAUGGGUUAAGUCAUGAUUUCUUGGAUAUGACAGAAGAAAUGGAAGAAAAAUUACAUAAAGUAGACUUCACCAAAAUCUUAAAACUUUUGUACUUCAAAUGGCACCAUGAAGAAAAUAAAGAUCACCCACAAAAUGGGAGAAAACAUUGCAAAUCACAUACUUGAUAAGGGAUUUACAUCUAUAAUAUAUAAAGAACCCUCACAACUCAACAAUAAAAAGACAAAUACCCCAGUCUAAAAACGGGAAAAGAUUGGAGUAGGUAGUUCACCAAAGAAGAUAUACAGAUGGCCAAUAAGCACAUGGAAGGAUGUCUAACAUCAUUAGUUAUUAGGGAAAUGCAAAUCAAAAUCACAAGACACCACAUCAUUGUAUCCAGGAUGGCUAACAUAAAAACAUCAGACCAUAACAAAUUAGGAAGGAUGUGGAUAUACUGAAAUGCUCAUAUAUUUCUGGUGGAAAGUAAAACGAGGCAGUCACUUUGAAAAGCAGCUUGGCAGUUUCUCUAAAUGUCAAAUAUACAGUUAUCAUAUGACACGGCAGUUUUGCUCCUAGGAAUAUACAUAAGAGGAAUGAAAACAUAGGUCCACAUAGAAACUGGUCCAUGAAUGUUCGUUCACAGCAGCAUUAUUCAUGACAACCAAAGAGAGUAAACAACCCAGAUGUCUAUCACCUGAUGCAUGGAUAGACAAAAUGUGGUCUAUUCAUAGAAGGGAACAUUAUUCGGCCACAAAAGAAACGAAGUGUUGAUUCAUGCAAUACAAACAAACGUGAAAACAUUAUGCUGAGUGAAAGAAGUCUGUCACAAAACCCUCAUACACUGUGUGAUGCAAUUUAUAUGAAAUGUCUGGAACAGGGAGAUCCAUGGAAAUAGAAAGUAGACUUGUGGUUGCCUAGAAUUUGGGGUAGGGGUGUGGAAGAAGGAGUGAUAGCUAAUGGGGACAGGGUUCCUUUCAUAGGGCAAUGAAAAUGUUCUAAAAUUAGUGGUGAUUGUUACACAGCACUGAAUAUACUAAAAACCAUUGAGUUGUAUACUUUCAAUGAGUGAAUUUUAUGGUAUAUGGAUUAGAUCUCAAAAAAGUAUUAUUAAGAAGAAUGACUCUCAGUCCCUGAUUGUCCUUGAAGAGGCUACUGGAGAUUUGUCCAUUUCUUACCUCAGUACAGAUGAAUUGGGGAUCUGGCUGAAAACUUGUCUUUGCUGCCCACUUUCUACUCCAAAGUUCAAGUUUUUUUCUAAAUUCUCCAACUUCUCUUCUGAUUCCAGGCCUAAGCACAGGGCUAUUUCUUUAUCUGCAUUGCCCAUUUCCCCUAGUUCCCUGCUGCCAUCCUUCAUAUAUCAGCCAAACCAGGGGUGGGUAGGGAUUUCAAGGUAGCAUUGGGUGUCCCCGGGGGUGUUCUAUUUUCUUACCACCAUUCCACUGAAGUGUGUUGGGGUGUUCCCUUUUCUUACCACCGUUCCACUGAAGUGUGUUGGUAUGUUCCCCGAGGACAGUUCCCUGAGGACAGUUGCCAACAUAGGCUUGGUUAUCACUGAAUGAAUGAAUAAAUAAACGAAUGAGUGAAGUGAAUACAUACCGGAAAAAGAACAAGUGUCUAUACAGAAUGGGAAGAUACGGAGAAGACAGAACAGGGAAAAGGAAGAAGGGAGGAUUUGGAUGAAAGGUAUAUUACCAUGUACCCCUUUUUUCCUAUUUGUUGAGAAAUGUGGAUUUCCCUACAGCCACUUUGACCAUGCGAACCUCUCACAUUCUAUAAUGGCUUCUCAUUUUCCUGUGAAUCAAACCAAAACCUUAGGCCUGUCAAAGAACACCCAAAACCUUGUUUUUCUACUCUUUGGCUCAAGAAAUACCAAGUUGGGAACCUAGCCAAAGAAAAUAUCAUCAACAAGCAUUUGAAUCCAGAGCGGGGAGAGGGGUGAACUCUGGAAACAUGUGCACAAAGUUACCGAUCUGGCAUGAUUUCUAAUAGUCAGAAAUUGGAAACAACCUAAAUGUCCAGUGGUAGGAUAGCAUAUAUCAUGCCAUGUCCCAAAGAUGAAAUAAUGUGUUCCCACUAGAAGAAUUUAGUAGUUUGGGGCGCCUGGCUGGCUCAGUAGGUUAAGCAUCUGACACUAGAUUUCAGCUCAGGCCAUCAUGGUUCUGAGCCGCCAGGGG
This is a long non-coding RNA of Herpailurus yagouaroundi (jaguarundi), 4523 nucleotides long. RefSeq lists it as uncharacterized. The record is from RefSeq and is a predicted model, not a curated record. The transcript is spliced from 3 exons. NCBI's taxonomy places the organism in Eukaryota, Metazoa, Chordata, Mammalia, Carnivora, Felidae.